UACAGGGCAAGUUAAGGGGGUAAUACAGAGUUAUCAGCACAAAAUAAAAUGCUCUCCGAGCGCGAGCGUCAGGCCGGCGCGGCUGCAGCCAGCUCGGUCAACGCGCGGCGGAAGGCGGCCGCCGGCAGAGGAUGUUGGCGAGCACGGCGACAGCUCCAGGUCCAUCUCUUCCCCGUCCUUGCGUUAUGUUCGCCUCGUUGACGAUCGCGACCAGAUCCCCUCCGCAAUCCAGAUUACCACAUCGAUUUGGGGAUUUGGGGAUAGAACCAGGACACGAGCAGCAAAGACGACACAACAGACCUUGCAUCAGUCCAGAACGACUGAUGAUCCAGAGUGGGGAUUACCAGUGACGCAUUCAUGAUCUUUGCCACUGCAACCAUAUCACUGAUCUGUAAGAAUUGUUCCAGGUUAGCUGAAAGGCACCGACAAAUAGCGAGGGUUAGGGCAAGCAUAUACAUACCCCCAUCCUCAUCUGGUUUAGCCCGCCGUUUGCGUCGACAAUCAGAUAGCCGACAGUCGCAUUGUCAGUCCCUGCAACGCGCGCGCCAAACACGAGAAUGUUAGCUGGAGCUGGAAGAAAAAUGGAGUGAACGAAUGGUAAAACAAGAAACUUACUGCGCUGAUUCUUUGGGCGUGCGAUGCACUGGCUGUAACCCCCGCUGUCUGGCUUCAUCCAUAUCUCCGGUGUCUGCCCAGGUUUAAGAGGAAACUUCAGCAUGGUCAAAGCGAGCACAGCACAUGAUCUGAGUGAAUGCUUGGCUUUCCUGAAAGGACUUUCUUGGCCGCACAUAGGCACAAGAUUGUUGCCUGGAAAGUGUCUGCCGGCCCUGCCCUAAACCUAUGCAUCAUGAAGCCCGUUGGCCCUACUCCCUGGUUUCUUUCUACCCGUGCAGCAUAUUUUUUUACACUUCUGGAUACUUCAGUAAUUUUAUACGAGGGUUGGUAGGAUCCUGGUAGUUCGCUAUCAUUGAACUUUCAGUUGUGUCAAGAUGAAAAUUUCAAAACCAGGACAUUACUUGUA
This is a long non-coding RNA of Triticum aestivum (bread wheat), 1021 nucleotides long. RefSeq lists it as uncharacterized. The record is from RefSeq and is a predicted model, not a curated record. Lineage: Eukaryota; Viridiplantae; Streptophyta; Magnoliopsida; Poales; Poaceae. The transcript is spliced from 2 exons.